This is an RNA transcript of Triticum aestivum (bread wheat), 1419 nucleotides long. RefSeq lists it as uncharacterized. The record is from RefSeq and is a predicted model, not a curated record. The transcript is spliced from 8 exons. NCBI's taxonomy places the organism in Eukaryota, Viridiplantae, Streptophyta, Magnoliopsida, Poales, Poaceae.
AUGCACAAGUGCAGUUCAGAGGAGAACUUGCUCGGCAACCAGGCGAGGCCCAACCGUGGUGGCAUGAAACAACAACAAGUGGAUCUAAAUCUUUCCUCGAUCUGGUGCAAUAAGAAGGCAAGAAGAGCGCCGGGGAAGAAGGAGAUGCCCCCAUCCUACAGCCCUCGGUCCUGCACCACGAUGGCAUCGUAUGGUACUGGCCAGCCAAGGCACGUGAUAUCCAUCUCUCCUUUUUUGUUUGUUCUUGGUGGAGUGCAGACGAGACAGCGGCGGCUCCCUGAAGUUGGAAUAAAGUUCUCUGUGCCUAGCCCCUAUUCUGGUGGUGCGUCUAGCGCUAUCGAAGAGCGUGCAGAGAUUGGAUCCUUCCAAUCUACGCUUCUCUUCAUUGACGGCAGUUGUGUUCUGGCCCCAGGGAAAAAGAAAAACUUCUCCGUUGGAGGAAAGUCGCGUGCCGUCUCGCCCACAGGUUAGUUGGUGCCCGCCGAAUUGUUUCAUCUUCGGUUGGUAGGAUUCUUCGGCUAUGGUUUGAUUUGCGCGUCCGCCUCCGUGUGCGACGUAAUCGUCGUCGAAUGCAUUGAGGCCUCUGCUGGCUACCACCGGCCGCCCUAUGAGACCCAUGUCUUGUCAUUGGAAGAUCCUCGAAGGAAUUGCACACUCUAAUAUGAAUCUGUUUAAAGUCCAAUCUAGUUUCUAGUGGUACCUAUGUGCUAAUAGGCCCGUUGGCAGCAAUGGCACAAGAGAGCUGGAAGGAGUCUGAGGAGACUGUCCAAACACCUGAGGCACCAAUAUUGUGUGUAAACAACUGCGGCUUCUUCGGUAGCAGCAUGACGAACAACAUGUGCUCCAAGUGCUACAGGGACUUCAUUAAGGCCACGACAAUGGCUGCCCCUGUAGUGGAGAAGGUGUUCUCAGUGGCAUCAUCUUCCAGUGUGACCUUGGAGCAAGCAAAGGCAGAUGAAGUACCAGCCGUGGCUGUAGCUGAUAGCCAAGCAGCACAGGAGCCUCCAAAGCCGCCCAGCAACAGAUGUCUUUCAUGCCGCAAGAAGGUAGGCUUGACCGGUUUCCAGUGCCGGUGCGGGGGAACAUUCUGCUCCAUGCACCGCUACGCUGACUCCCACGAAUGCACUUUCGACUACAAGAAGGCUGGCCGGGAGCAGAUUGCCAAGCAGAACCCUGUUGUGAUAGCCGAGAAGAUCAACAAGAUAUGAUCGAUAAUCACACUGGGUUCAUUUGCUUGCUAUUCGUGGUGGUACCGGAUUCGUCUUUACUUGAAUCAGUAGGUUUCUUCUGGUCUGGACUAGGUUGCUAGGGUCUCAAUUGUGUCUAUCCUUCUCCUUCAUGGUUCGCUUCUCUCCAUUAAGAAUGAAAUGAAAUAAUGUAAAUAUAUAAAAUUCUAUUGUUUUAGCUGUUCGUUUCGUA